UUUACCACUUGUUGGGGCACUUUAAUGUCUUUAAUAAGCAUGUAUGACUGAUGGAUUACUGUACAUUGUUGAAUUUCCUUCUUUCUCUGUGUGAACUUCAAAAUGAUGGUUCAACAGUUCCAGGACUGCAUAUCUGGUCAUGUACAGAGCCUCAGACAGAGAGCCAGAGGAGGUGAAAGAACAACAGAGGACCAGGAGAAGAGUGGAAAAGGAUGAACCAAAGAAAAGAAGAAUGCAUGAAUACAUAAAGAAAUCUGGAGAAAAGAACAUCCACGAGGAUGCUCUGCAACCUGGCAAGAGUUCAGAGAUAAAGAGGAAUACUUUUUUGAUUACUUUCAUCACUGGUUUUUUGGCCUUAAUUGUAAUACUUGCAAUGAUACUCACAGCUCUAAGCAGAAACUGAUGGAGGGGGAGAAAGUCAGCAGAAUUUGUGGUUUUUGAAAAUUUCAGCUUGUAACAGAACCAGUUUUGUCAAGGGAGCAAUGAAAAUGAUAUAAUUGCAUUUCACAGACAACUAUGGUCGAUGUUAUGAAAGCAACUUUGUAGAAGCCAUUUAAAUAAUUGUAAAAUCAGUUGUUUGAAGUGUGGAGCUCAUAAAAGGUGCUGUGGUGAUGAUGAUGAUGAUGAUGAUGUGGAUGAAUUUUAAUCACCAUGGAAGAAAUUCAGGCAUCAAAACUGUAUUUUUCACAUUGUCACUGUAAAUUCUAACGCACAAAAGCAGCCAUGACAUGCAAUGCUAAGAUUUCAUUAACGAUCAAAUAAUAACUUUUGUAUUCAUAAAGUUUUCCCCAAAAUUAUAAAAAAUAAUUUUCCAAAUAAAUAAAGGGUCUCACUCCAUAGCGAGUGAUAGUGA
Long non-coding RNA from Oreochromis aureus, 853 nucleotides. RefSeq lists it as uncharacterized. The transcript has 2 exons. The record is from RefSeq and is a predicted model, not a curated record. Lineage: Eukaryota; Metazoa; Chordata; Actinopteri; Cichliformes; Cichlidae.